This 10375-nucleotide long non-coding RNA is filed under the name Linum usitatissimum (flax). RNAcentral's name for it is "long non-coding RNA (LUSI_LNC005787)". Lineage: Eukaryota; Viridiplantae; Streptophyta; Magnoliopsida; Malpighiales; Linaceae. The record is from RNAcentral.
UUUUUUUUUUCUUUUUCUUUACCUAAAAACACUAGUAGGUGAAGUUUUGUUUAAAAAACGUCCCAUAGUUGAGUCCUUAAACUUUCUCUCAUCAUUUUUAAAAAAAAAUGGUGAAAUGAUGAGUUGGCAGGUGACUCAUCCCCUAAAUACUAACCGUGUCGAAAUAUGUCUACAUUUUGUUAAAAAAAAUAACAAAAUGGUAAUUAAGGUGACAAAACUAUAAUUUAAUGAACAUAAUUUAAUUUGAUGGUUAGUGUGACUGCAAUUAAAAUUUAGUGGUAUCUAAUGUAUAUAUUAUAAAAUGUAUUAAUUUGGAGCUGUUGUAAAAUGUAAUUAUAAUAAUUAUUUUCUGAAAUUGAAUGAUAAGAUUUAUGAAACACCAACAUACCAUUGAACUUCUGACAUUGGUCUUAGUCUAAUUUUGAUUCACUCAUGUUAGGUCACAUCACGUUGUGAAACAAAGUUCAUCUCAAAUUUUAUUUGUAUCAUCUGAUUUUGCCAAUUUUAACUUCCAACAUGUAAUCAUGACUUUGAUAGUACAAGUUAAAACCCUACCCCAAGAACUAAUUGAAUGUUUAGUAAUUAUAAUACAACGUUAAUAUAGUUAUGAUUUGAAUUUAGAGGUGUUGAUCACGUUGGUAUAUUCACGUUCACGAAAAGGAAUCACGUUCGAAAAGUUUGGGAAUUAGAAGGAAAUUGGAUGUUAAAUUGUUGAGAGCUAGGAAUUGACUUGAUCCCACGCUCCUCUUUUUCUUUUGCAUUUACAUGUAUUUAUCAUAAAUUUAUAUUNNNNNNNNNNNAUGUAUUUAUCAUAAAUUUAUAUUCGGCUAAUUAUGAAAAUACCAGUAGCUUAUGCUCUUCGGCGCCGUAUUUUACCAAUUUUUUUAAAAAAAUAUCAAUAGUUAGAAUGAGUUGUUAGUGAAUAAUAUAAUUAUCAACCAAAAUUUCUUUCUAAAUGCAACGAUUAUCAACAUCGUGGCCCUCCCCAACGAACCCUUGGCUCCACCCCUGUUUUCACUCUAUGGAUUGACAUCUAAGUUUAUAAUUAACUAGUUGUGCCCAUGUUUAUAACUAGUUUCAGCAUUGUUGACGCAGACAACCGACACAUCAACUGUCCCAAUUAACAGCAACGAUUUGGCCUACACAGCCAGCCAUUAAAGGAUGAUGAACCAUGGAUAAAUUCUUUAAGGAUCUGUUUGUCUAGACAUUAUUAUUAUUAUUAUUAUUAUUGUAAAUAGGCCCCCCAUGGAUCGAUAUCUCUUCAAUUGGCCACUAGUAUUAUGAGCAGAGACUGAUGAUGGCACCCGAUAUUUUCACGUGGCCUUUGCCGGCUUCUUUCCGGAUGGCGAUAUGAAAGCAAACACCAAAAACCCACACGACACUUUGAAAGCCACAGGGAAUUUGCACAAAACGAAAAACAAAGGAAAAUGAAUGGCAACUAAAUUCAUACUCAGCGGAUAUCCGACUCUUCGUGAUUCGGUCAAUACGAGAAAUUACAUGUAUUGAUCGAGUUAUGGCCGGUACGGAAAGUAUUUUUUGUAAUUCGGUCAGCGAAAGAAAAUAGCUAUAUUUAUCGAGUUAUGGGUUGUGCAGAAAAGAUUUAUGAAAAAAUUAAAGAAUACGAGUCGAAUAUAGACUUAGGAAAUACGGGUUGGAGAUAGGCUUAGGUGCCCGCCUACUAACUCUUUUGUAAGUCACAAGCAUGAGGACAUUUCUUCAUUCAUGAAAAAUUACCUUUUUACGGUUGCAAAAGACAGAAAAGUGUGCAACAUUACUUUGCAAUUGAUACAGACUAUAAAAAAAUUUAAUUUUACGGAAGGUAAGUAUGAGAUUGUUUCAUAAACGGUCGUUAAUUUGUUGGUCACUAUAAAUUAUUAGUGACCAAUUUGACUUAUCAGUAACCAUUUUAUUAAAAAAUUUGUUGGUCACUAAAAUCCGUUUGUAUAAACUUGUCAUAUCAUUUACUUACGUAUAUGUCUGUAUAUAUACUAUGCACAUUAGCGGAUUUAAGAGAAGAUUCUUCUACAUCACGGACCUGCUCACAUUUAGCUAGGUCUAGAAUUUUGAUAAUAUAUGUUUUUUUAUCGUUUAAAAAGUUUAUUAAACAGUCACAUCUAAUUAAGUAUGAGACUAUUUCAUUAAACGAUGACUAAUUUAUUGCUCACUAUAAAUCACUGAUCAGAAACUGAUCACCAAAAUUGUUAGUAUAACAAAAUUUGCCAUAUCAUUACUUAAGCAUGUCUAAAUAUGUACUACACAAACUCACGGAUCUAAGAGAAGAUUCUCUUACAUCACCGAUCAGCUCACAUCUAAUAAGGUUUAGGGUAUGUAAUUUCGAUCAAAUAACUCAAAUCUUGCAGAUAAAUAAUUUAUCAUCGAUUUUUAUUUUUCCCGGGGGAAAAAAAAAAAAAAAAAAAUUUUUUGUUUUUCAAUUAUUGUGGUCGGAUUUAGAGUAAGUGAAACAAAAUAAAAAUAAAAAUGGGGUAAUAAAUUAAGAGAGAGAAAGAGAGGGAAGAAAGAGAGAUGAAAAAUCCGACGGUAAUUAAAUUUACCGUCACUUCAAAUAAGGGGAAAUGAAAACUCUCACAUGAUGGAUUUGAGGCACAAAGAUAUUNNNNNNNNGGUUUUGCGUAGCGUUUUUUUAAUCGAAAAACACAAAUUCAUUUUUUACUGCCGGAUUUCGCAAAAUCCGACCUAUUUGACCCGCACGGAAAAUGUUACCUUAGAAUUUUAGUAAUAUAUAAUUUUUUAAUUAUUUAAAAAGUUUACUAAUAUAUUUUUAUAUGCGGCCAAAUACAUUUACGACUCGUUCCAAACCAUCCAUGUAUAUCAAUAACUCGAUCAAGACAUGGCAGAAAAGAACAAAUCGGGGAUGCCAAAAACGCGGCCACGGAAUGAACUCGUUAGCUGGGUCUCUGUCGUUACGGGGUUUGGAUGAUUGCGUGGAAGUUGAUAGGGAUUUUCGUCGUACGUGCGUGCAGUUUGUAUAAAUAAUUUUUGUUUAAUGGUAAGCUUAGAACAAGCCUACCGACAUCCUCUGUUAUUUUUUUUAUAUAAUAAAUUCAAUUAUUAGUCACUCGAAACAUUUUUCUAAGUAAUCUAUAGCCUGGUAAGACCUAGUAUUCUAACGUGCAUUUCCACUCUGUUUUAUGUUACAACAAAAUCAAAUUAAGUAGGCCAGCCACACGUCCCCUAAAUUAUAGCAUGUCACCUCUGCAUGAACGUACGUGACCCAGACCAUUUUCUUGAUUCCGAAACGCAACCCAACUCGAUUCUGAAAUCUAGCCCGAUUUGGGUAGAGGAGAGGAUCUAAAUUCGUGAAAAGGGAGUAAAAUGAUUUGACGGAUCAGGUGGGAUACGUAUCAAUUGGCAGAGUUAUGUGUGGGUGGUUUAUAGAUAUUGAGUUCAAAUUCAAUUACUGUACGAAGGUAUAACCAAAGUUAACGGAUAGUUUUGAAGUAGUACAUAUGCAAGUCAAAGUACUACGAGGUGAUCAUCAAUUUCGGGUGCAAGAAUUAUUUAAAAUUAUAUAAAAUCAAAGCAUAUUUUACUAUUUAUUAAGAGAUUGAUUUUCUUUUUCAUUCAAUUUUGUUAGACUUAUUUAGUUGGGUCUCAACUUAACUAUAUUAAAUUACAUUAAAUAUUAAUUAAAAAAAAGUUAGCCAAUUUGAAAAGUUUCAAGACUAAAUAUAACACAAUUACCGUACAGUUUCAGAGAAAAUAUUUUAAACUUCAUUUUGACUAUUAUUUGUAAGGAUUAAUAUGGUUAAACAUAAAUAUGUAUNNNNNNNNNNNNNNNNNNNNNNNNNNNNNNNNNNNNNNNNNNNNNNNNNNNNNNNNNNNNNNNNNNNNNNNNNNNNNNNNNNNNNNNNNNNNNNNNNNNNNNNNNNNNNNNNNNNNNNNNNNNNNNNNNNNNNNNNNNNNNNNNNNNNNNNNNNNNNNNNNNNNNNNNNNNNNNNNNNNNNNNNNNNNNNNNNNNNNNNNNNNNNNNNNNNNNNNNNNNNNNNNNNNNNNNNNNNNNNNAUUAUUGUAAAGAAGUUAACGAAUUGACGUGUCAUCCGUUUCACACAUAUUGCAUGAUACAUGCACAUGGUGAAAAGAUAGUGAACGCAAACUUUGCUUAUCCACAUGAAUAAGUUAAGGAAGUAGUCACGUAAAUUUGAACUCACCACCACCUCAGAAAAUUACGUCACUGCUUCGUUCAUUUUGAUUACCUUUCUAACUAACACCUUUUUACAGUCUUUUUUAAAUUAAGUUGAAGAAUUCAACAACCUUAAUUGAUCACCUACAUAGUUCAACAUAAACCAUAAUUAUAUUAUAAUAUCCUACUGCUCAUCAAUGGCUGCUAUAUAUUCAUAUUGUUCUAAAUAUUUGUAUUGGAUCAUAAUCUAAUCUUUCCCAUUCGGACUAUUGUCUUUGAUAAUCGGAAAGUUUCCUGAUCAAUUUCUCUGUGAUUUUUCGUUGAAGAAAUUUCAUACUCACGUGAUGAUCAUCGUCGACUUUAUAUUUUAGGAAAAAAAUAUUAUUUCUUUGGAAAUAUUUUCCAACGAACGGCCAAUUUUGUAUGGAGAGUUGUACAGAUCACACAAAUAUAUACAUGUUUGUACAAACCGGCCGUACCGAAGUGUAUAUACAUUUGUAUAGCUUUUGUACAAAGUGUAACACUAAGUACUCUAGUAAGUAUCAUGUUACUUAGCAUAAUACUAGUAUACACAUUUGUAUAGCUAUGAAAUGUCAAUUUUGCUUCAUAUUUUCAGCCAUGAAAUCAUCUAAAACACAAUUUUUAGACGGUUAAAAUUUGUGAUAACUUUCAAAAUCAAAUGCAAAAACCAUUUUUUAACUCCAUAUCCGGACUCCUCCAUCAGAAAGAAACCAGAAACCACUAUUGAAUUGAUAUGGUUAUAAGUCCCUAGUGUUACGUUUUUCCUAGAAUUGGAAUUAACUUUGAGGGUAGGGAAGAACCAUGUUAUUAGUGGUACGAUUUUCAGAUUAAUUAGUGAGUUGUACGUCUUGGACACAUCAAAAAAGGGAACUAGACGUAUUGCAGGAUGUCAAUUAUCAACUGAGUUGUUACCCCCAUGAACAAAACUUUGAAUUAUAUUUAUGUCAUCAUAUGGUUCAUAGUUCACCUUAAUUUGAAAUUAAUAUAUAUCAAAAUAAUAGUAUAAUAAUGAUCCUAUAUCCUGAACUCGAUUACUCGGGUUAAAGAAGAAAUUUACAUGUCUAAUGAAGUUAAUAUGCAAUAAAAUUAGUUGAUUUUGGAGUUAUGGAAUACAAACAAUGAACAGCAAUAAAUCAUUGGAAAUUAAGGCCGUACGUUGACGGUGACAAAUUAUUGGUAGGUACACAAAUUGUAAUUUAAGUUGACAUAUUGAAAAGCUUAGGUCCAAGUAUGGACAUUUUAAUUAACAGUGAAUUUGAUUUCUACACAUGUUUAUUGAAAUCUUGAAAAAGAAUUUGUUGGCUACCAUAUGGUGACGGCUCCGGGUUGUACAUAGGCUAAGAAAUGCGACACUAUCGCUCUCAUUACGACAUGCGAAUUUUGGUGUGUGGAAAGCCGGAUGAGAUGUUGAUGAGUUAUUUACUUGGAUGAAAAUUUUAAAUUCUUAUAAAGUGUAAUUUGGGAAUCAUGUUUCAAUUUCCAUUUAAAUUUUAUUUAACAUUUUACCUGUCAAACUAAAUUUAGUUCGGUCCUCGAUAUAAACAUUACUUUUGAGCUAGAAAGCACGUAAUCUUCUGAUUUUAAUGACGACCGAAUUUCGUUUUCAUUAAUCGAAUAUCAUCAUGAGAGAUGGAGAAAUAGGACUUUGGGGUGCAAAAUCAAAACAUGAUAUCAGAAUCCAUAAUCACAAUUGUAAGCUAUCUUAUGCGCAUUAGUAGCUUUGCUUCGAAUAUUUUUGUUUUAUUACAAUUUUUCCCGUUUAAAAAGACAAAUCUUUUUGUUCUUGUUCCUUGAAUCUAGAACAAUAUGGGAAUUUAAACGUGCAUUGACAAAUUACUAAACUAUUAGUCAUCUCAUAAUCCCACGAGACAUAGACUCGAAUAAUGAGAAGGCCUAAAUAAGGGUUACAUGUUCAAUUCGAUCAAUAAAAACAGAGUAUUUCGAGAACAUAAUUAUACAAAAAUAAAAUCUGAACAUGUAACAAAAUUACUCGAUCAAUUAAAACUCAAUGUUUCGUCUUUCGCUUGCCUUGCUAUAGUCUCUGUUGCAUGCUGCAAUAAAACAACGAGUAUAAUGAUGAACCUAAAUCAGAAGAAAAACUUUCAAAAUCUCAUACACAAACAUCUACAUUAACAUGACAUUCCUCAAUCUUUGAAUUGCACAUAUCAACUGCCUCUCUACUGUCAAACCAGACAUUAGCUCUAUUUUCUUCUCGAAAAGCAAAAAGACAAGUAGCGAACAUUCCUCUAGUCUUAACAACGACUGAAAUCUUACAAAAAAAACGACCAUCCACUCCAUCAAUCAUAUGACCUUCAGGCUUCACACUAAUAACCCCAAAUCCCUACCUUCUCAACGUCCUUAAUAAAAAAACCAUUACACAUAAACCAAGUCCGAAAACUUCAUCCUCAAUUGAUUGUAUAACCAACCACCUUCUCUAGAUGGGGUUUUUUUCGAGUAAAGUCUCGAAAUCAAUCUCGGGUGGGUUGAUUCAUAACUCGAACAAACUUCGUCAAACGGCGACGAAAGAAUUCAGGAAUUUAGACACAGUAUCCACUCACUUUCAAAAUCGUAUUCCAGCACGUGAUCCACAUUAUCUUAAUUACAUAUAAUCCUCCCCGCCAGUGCACGACUCUCUGUUCCUAACUUCUCUCUCCAUUCCACGUAACCCACCCAAAAAAGAAACCAACCCAGAAAAAUCAAACCCGGGAAAAGAAAUUAAAGAUCCCCACUAUAAAUCAAAACCCACACAAUUGUCCAAUACUCAAAUUCCUAGGUUUUGUUUUUAUCGAUUUCAUUUCCCCCCCACCCCCGCGCCACAAAUUCUCUCUCUCCGGCGGUCAUGGCGGCGGCGCAAAUCAUACUCCUCCUCAUCGCUUCCUUUCUCUGCCGUUGUGAUAAGUCCCUGAGCUUCCAAUUGGCCCCCAAUUCGAAAAACUGUUCGAUCAAGGACCGGAUCGUGGGACUGGGUAAGGAGCAGGCGACGGUGGAUUGGAUGAAGGGGAUACGGCGGAGGAUUCACGAGAAUCCGGAGCUGGCCUAUGAGGAAUACCAAACGAGUGAGCUGAUUAGGGAGGAGCUCGAUCGGCUCGGGAUUCCGUACCGGUGGCCGGUCGCGAAAACCGGGAUUGUCGCCACGGUUGGGAGCGGUUCGCCGCCGUUCGUCGCUCUGAGAGCCGAUAUGGACGCUCUGCCUAUUCAGGUAAAAAUUCCAAUUUCAAUUUCUGGAGCAUCCUUUUCUGAUUGAUUCGCCGCCGGUCGGCCCCACGUUUUUUUCUGUUCAUAUACUAUAAUGAACACAGUGCAGAGGAAUCCUUUUUCAAUGUGGGAAAGCGAAUCUGAUUUCAGGAAUUAUUAUUGGCUGGCCAUUAUAGAAAAGAUAUUUCCUUUGAGUGGUUCCUUUAUGGCUUAGAACAAAAUGGGGUACGGAUGAUCAUUAUAAAAUGAUUGGUGCAUAGUUAAUUUGCUUAAAGUUGUAAUCUUUUGAACAUCAACCGCUUGAGUUCACAAUUAUUGGAAAAAAGUAGGCACUUUUCGUCCUGGGAAGUUGGUUGUUGCUGAGCUACUGGUCCAGAACAGUGCACUGAGUUGUUUGGUUUGGCUGGGGAUAGUUGAAUGAAAAAUUCGCUUCUUACAAAUUACUUUAUCGGGAUUUAACCUUCUCAAUAUUUCAUUCAACUUUUUUUCCACCCGGUUAAAUUAACCUGAGUUUUCCUUGUUACUUGAUGACUAUGGCUUCUUCUGUAGUUAGAUAUGAGUAGAGGUAGAGAGUCGUUGCAGAGGUUAGUAGAGGUUCGUAAAAGGCGAUUGAAAUUUGUGAAGAUCGACCAAUUGUUAUACCGGGGACUAAAAUGAUUGAUUUUUAAACCUUUUGCUCGGAAGCUCUGAUGUCAUGUAUGGAACUGUUGCAUCCAAGUUAUUGAGUGAGAUUCAUGAUUGGUUUUUGAUAACAUUGAGGGUUAUCCAUUUGGCUGAUCUGAGUUUCCUGAACCCAGAAGAAAGAUUGGAACUUUAAUUUGUGGCCGAACUCCAGAGACUUGUUCUUAUUAUUAGCUGUGAUUCUCUUCAGGAAAUGGUGGAGUGGGAGCAUAAGAGCAAAGUAGACGGCAAAAUGCAUGCUUGCGGCCAUGAUGCUCACGUUGCAAUGCUGCUCGGUGCAGCAAAGAUCCUGCAACAGAUUCGAGACACAUUGCAAGGGACAGUGGUCUUGAUCUUCCAACCGGCAGAGGAGAGAGGCCGUGGAGCCAAAGACAUGAUCGAAGAAGGCGCAUUGGACAAUGUGAAAGCAAUCUUCGGCCUCCACAUAGCUCAUGUGUUCCCAACCGGUUCGGUUGCUUCCAGGCCAGGACAGUUCCUGGCCGGAUGCGGAAGCUUCAAGGCGAAGAUCACCGGGAAAGGCGGCCACGCUGCGAUCCCUCAAAACUCGAUCGAUCCGAUCAUCGCCGCUUCUUCCUCAGUCAUCAGUCUCCAAAACAUUGUGUCGAGAGAGGCCGACCCUUUCGAUUCGCAGGUGGUUUCUGUGGCGAUGAUCAACGGUGGGAACGCGUUCAAUGUGAUUCCGGACUCGACCACCAUAGCUGGAACAUUCAGGGCAUUCAGCAGGGAGACAUUCAAGUCGUUAAGGGAGAGGAUCAAGGAAGUUAUCGGAGCACAGGCAGCGGUCCAUAGGUGCACUUCGGAUGUGGAUUUCGACGGGAGCGAACAUCCGACGAUUCCUCCCACGAUAAACGACGAGGGUGUGUACGAGCUCGCAAGACUCGUCUCACAGGAUGUGGUUGGGGAGUCCAACACUAAGGUGUCCCCUAGCUUCAUGGGGAGUGAGGAUUUUGCGUUUUACCUGGAUAGAGUUCCUGGCUCUUUCAUGUUUUUAGGGAUUAGGAAUGAGAAAUUGGGGGCAAUUUACCCUCCUCAUAACCCUUAUUUUUUCCUAGAUGAAGAUGCUUUGCCUGUAGGGGCAGCUGUACAUGCUUCCUUUGCACAUUCUUUUCUCUCUAAUUCUACCACGAGUUCUAGUUCUUACUGCUAAUAUUUUGCUUGGCGUACAACAUAUAUGUGUCGUUUUCUCUCUAAUUCUAACCUCGAAUUUUUCCAAAAUCCACCGGAUUUCAAAUUCAAGGCCAAAACCAAACCUCUCCAAAUGAAAUGGGGAAUUGGAAUUCGGCGGAAUCAAGCCCCCAAAUCUGGCGGAAAUGAAAACGUUGGUUUUGUUUAACCAAUUUUGAGGUGGAACUGGUCCGAUUAGGGUGGUCUCAAAAUGACAUCUUCAAUUCCGUUGGAUUUGAGAGUUUAAUUUCGCCUAAGUCCAGUCUAAGAAUUCCAUUUGGAAUGGGAAAAUCCUGCAGCUUUGAGAAUUUCAGCCUGAAUGGACACCCUUUCAACAAAAAAAUAAUAUCGUUUUGUGAUCACUGAAAACAGAUUAGACGUAAUUGAUCCAGAGUCCAGAAUUGGCCCCUAAAUCCGACCAAUUCUAGCACGACACGUGGCCAUAGCCCAUUGUUCUUCAUGUUCGAGAUCGGAUCGGGUCAGAUGAGGUGCAAGGACACAUAUACAAGGUUUUUAGAUUAAGCUGAACAAACAAUUGAAAUUGAUAACAUAAGAUAUUGGAACAUAGGCAUGUAAAUAGGGAUAGAAACACUUAGCAACUCACAAGACACAAGAAACUAAAGAUCCAACUUAUGGACAGAUAGAUAUAUAAAUAUAAGCUCUUCCUUUCUAGACUUGGAUCCUUGCAAAGAUAAAAGAAGCCAUGGCAAGAACAACUCCGACAGCUGCGGAAGGAGCCAUGAAGCCAUUCGAACCGUUGGUUGGAGUGGGAGCCAUGUCCAUGGGUGGCAUCCCAGGCAUAGGAGGCAUCCCUGGCAUAGGGGGCAUCUUGUCACCAGCAGAAGCUACUGCGAUCAAUGCAGCAGCGAAGAUGGCUCCGAAAACGAGCUUGACAGCCAUGGCAGAUGACAUCUCUGAAUGUUGGGAGAUUGAAAAUGAAAUGGGUUUUUUUUGUCAGUGAAGAGAGACUGUGUGAAUGAUGAGUUUGUUACAUGUGUGUAGUAUAUAUACGGAGAGGAGUAUGGUGCGGGUGAACUAUGGCAUUGUGAUUUCGUUACGGCCGAUGAAAGCUUUAUAUGCUGGUUUUUGUUCUUACCCAUGUAGGAGCCUAGUUUUGGACUUUAGGAUUGGUUUGGAAAUGAGAAUUAUGUUCUCAGGAAAGUUGAGUUGAAA